CCACACACAAAUCACUUCAAAGAUAAUAUAAUUACAUCUAAAGUAUUAUAGGAAUAUGGCAAAGUCAUUAGUGAGCUACACAACCUUCCUUGCUCUCCUCUUAUGCUUCCUCCUCAUUUCAUCCAAUGAGAUGCAAGGUGCUGAAGGGAAAACAUGCCGAUGGAGGAGCAAGGAAUAUCGUACCCGCUUUUGCUUGUUGAGUGACACUUGUUUCAAAAAGUGCAAAGAAGAGUAUUCCAAAUCAACAAAGGGUCAGUGCAUUAAAAAAGGCACCUUUUCUCGCUAUUGCUACUGUUGGCGCAAGUGCUAAGAAGCAUCCAAUGUUCUCACAAAUCUCUUUGCUUAUGUAUGAAUAAAUAAAAAAUUAAUGGUGUGUUGUCUUGUGUCAUGUGUGAAAGAAUAAAAACCUACCAAUUCAUUAGAAUUGUAGUGAUUGUGAUCGAAAUUGUUCUAUGUUAUGUUUUCAUAUGAUAUUCUACGUUUAUAGUUUUUGUAUAAAUAAAUUGUUCGCUGUCAUUUUCAUUGA
Long non-coding RNA from Solanum dulcamara, 526 nucleotides. RefSeq lists it as uncharacterized. The record is from RefSeq and is a predicted model, not a curated record. NCBI's taxonomy places the organism in Eukaryota, Viridiplantae, Streptophyta, Magnoliopsida, Solanales, Solanaceae. The transcript has 2 exons.